UCCGGCGGUCACCUCAACCCCGCCGUCACCUUCGGCCUCGCGGUCGGCGGCCACAUCACCAUCCUCACCGGCAUCUUCUACUGGGUCGCCCAGCUCCUCGGCUCCACCGUGGCCUGUCUCCUCCUCAAGUUCGUCACCGGUGGCAAGGUAAAACAGAACGAAAACAUCCCCACUGUCCGUCGUCGUCCAUGAACUAAAUCAAUCUAUCCGAACCGUCUGAUUCGUUUCCAUUUC
Molecule: long non-coding RNA, 234 nt
Filed under: Elaeis guineensis (African oil palm)
Lineage: Eukaryota; Viridiplantae; Streptophyta; Magnoliopsida; Arecales; Arecaceae
Description: long non-coding RNA (EGUI_LNC023800)
Source: RNAcentral